Molecule: ribosomal RNA, 546 nt
Filed under: uncultured fungus
Lineage: Eukaryota; Fungi
Description: eukaryotic LSU rRNA
Rfam family: 5.8S ribosomal RNA (bases 158-312)
Source: RNAcentral
AGUUCCCGGUUUUGUUCCCCCUUCCAUCCCCCCUGGGCCCCCUUUGGAAUUUUAUGGUUCGGGGGGGUUUGUUCUCUUGCCGGGGUUUUUAGUUUUUUACACACACACUGUAAUAAAGUUUCAUGGAAUGCAUGACGCGUUUAACGCAAUACAAUACAACUUUCAGCAACGGAUCUCUUGGCUCUCGCAUCGAUGAAGAACGCAGCGAAAUGCGAUAAGUAAUGUGAAUUGCAGAAUUCAGUGAAUCAUCGAAUCUUUGAACGCACCUUGCGCCCUUUGGCUAUUCCAGAGGGCAUGCCUGUUUGAGUAUCAUGAACACCUCAACUCUCAUGGUUCGCCGUGAUGAGCUUGGACUUUGGGGGUCUUGCCGGCCUGUGGUCGGCUCCUCUCAAAUGAAUCAGCUUGCCAGUGUUUGGUGGCAUCGCAGGUGUGAUAACUAUCUACGCUUGUGGUUUUCCACCAGGUAACCUUCAGUGAUGGAGGUUCGCUGGAGCUCACAAAUGUCUCUCCUCGGUGAGGACAGCUUCUUGAAUGUUGAUCUCAAAU